GUGCGAAGGUAGCAUAAUCAUUUGUCUUUUAAUUGAAGACUUGUAUGAAUGGUUGAACGAGAAAAUAACUGUCUCUUUAAAAAAUCUUGAAUUUUACUUUUAAGUGAAAAGGCUUAAAUAAUUUUAAGGGACGAUAAGACCCUAUAAAUCUUUAUAUUAUUUUUCUUUAACUUUCAAAUUAUAUUUUAAAAGAAACAAAAGAAAAAAAUAUUAUAUUGGGGAGAUAAAAAUAUAAUUUUUUUUAACUGUUUUAAAUAUAAAACAAUAAUUUUUGAUUUAUUAAAAAAUUGAUCCUUUUUAAAGAUUUUAAAAUUAAGUUACUUUAGGGAUAACAGCGUAAUUUUUUUUGAGAGUUCUUAUCGAAAAAAA
RNAcentral lists this ribosomal RNA (369 nucleotides) under Aegla atropos. Its description in RNAcentral is "Aegla sp. 1 ALVS-2018 partial large subunit ribosomal RNA". Lineage: Eukaryota; Metazoa; Arthropoda; Malacostraca; Decapoda; Aeglidae. The record is from RNAcentral.